Molecule: ribosomal RNA, 523 nt
Filed under: uncultured bacterium
Lineage: Bacteria
Description: bacterial SSU rRNA
Rfam family: Bacterial small subunit ribosomal RNA
Source: RNAcentral
AGAGUUUGAUCCUGGCUUAGGAUGAACGCUAGCGACAGGCUAACACAUGCAAGUCGAGGGGCAGCAUAGAAGUAGCAAUACUUGGGUGGCGACCGGCGCACGGGUGAGUAACGCGUAUGCAACCUACCUAUCGAGAGGGGAAUAACCCGGCGAAAGUCGGACUAAUACCGCAGUAAAAACAGGGGGCACCGCAUGGUGAUAUUUGUUAAAGAAGUUCGCUGAUAGAUGGGCAUGCGUUCCAUUAGGGUAGUUGGUGAGGUAACGGCUCACCAAGCCGACGAUGGAUAGGGGAACUGAGAGGUUGGUCCCCCACACUGGUACUGAGACACGGACCAGACUCCUACGGGAGGCAGCAGUGAGGAAUAUUGGUCAAUGGGCGGGAGCCUGAACCAGCCAAGUCCGCGUGAAGGAAGAAGGAUCUAUGGUUCGUAAACUUCUUUUGCAGGGGAAUAAAGUGCAGGACGUGUCCUGUUUUGUAUGUACCCUGAGAAUAAGGAUCGGCUAACUCCGUGCCAGCCGCCGC